Rattus norvegicus (Norway rat) is the source of this 63-nucleotide non-coding RNA. The record is from Rfam. Lineage: Eukaryota; Metazoa; Chordata; Mammalia; Rodentia; Muridae.
GGGGAUUUGGCUCAGUGGUAGAGCACUUGCCUAGCAAGCGCAAGGCCCUGGGUUCAGUCCUCA